ACUCAAAGGAAUUGACGGGGGCCCGCACAAGCGGUGGAGCGCGUGGUUUAAUUCGACGCUAAGCGAAGAACCUUACCUGGGCUUGACAUGCUGGUAGUACCUUAGUGGAAACGCUGAGGGAUCUACCGUGAGGUAGAAGCCAGCACAGGUGCUGCACGGCUGUCGUCAGCUCGUGCCGUGAGGUGUUGGGUUAAGUCCCGCAACGAGCGCAACCCCUGUCCUUAGUUGCGGCAGCACCCAUGCGGUGGCUGAGCACUCUAAGGAGACUGCCGCCGAUGAGGCGGAGGAAGGUGGGGAUGACGUCAAGUCCGUGUGGCCUUUAUGUCCAGGGCUACACACGCGCUACAAUGGGUGGUACAACAGGCAUAGCGACCCUGUAAAGGGGAGCGAAUCCAUAAAACCAUCCUCAGUUCGGAUUGGGGUCUGCAACCCGACCCCAUGAAGACGGAAUCGCUAGUAAUCACCUAUCAGCAUGGGGUGGUGAAUACGUUCCCGGGCCUUGUACACACCGCCCGU
Molecule: ribosomal RNA, 516 nt
Filed under: uncultured bacterium
Lineage: Bacteria
Description: bacterial SSU rRNA
Rfam family: Bacterial small subunit ribosomal RNA
Source: RNAcentral